UACAGAGGGUGCGAGCGUUAAUCGGAAUUACUGGGCGUAAAGCGCGCGUAGGCGGCUUUGCAAGUCAGGUGUGAAAUCCCCAGGCUUAACCUGGGAACUGCACUCGAGACUGCAUUGCUAGAGUAUGGGAGAGGGAAGUGGAAUUUCCGGUGUAGCGGUGAAAUGCGUAGAUAUCGGAAGGAACAUCAGUGGCGAAAGCGACUUCCUGGACCAAUACUGACGCUCAUGUGCGAAAGCGUGGGGAGCAAACAGG
This 253-nucleotide ribosomal RNA is filed under the name uncultured bacterium. Its description in RNAcentral is "partial 16S ribosomal RNA". It matches the Rfam family "Bacterial small subunit ribosomal RNA", at positions 524 to 776 of the family's 1533-position model. The record is from RNAcentral.